RNAcentral lists this ribosomal RNA (468 nucleotides) under uncultured bacterium. RNAcentral describes it as "partial 16S ribosomal RNA". It matches the Rfam family "Bacterial small subunit ribosomal RNA", at positions 28 to 507 of the family's 1533-position model. The record is from RNAcentral.
GACGAACGCUGGCGGCGUGCUUAACACAUGCAAGUCGAACGGAAAGGCCCUGCUUUUGUGGGGUGCUCGAGUGGCGAACGGGUGAGUAACACGCGAGUAACCUGCCCUUGACUUUGGGAUAACUUCAGGAAACUGGGGCUAAUACCGGAUAGGAGCUCCUGCUGCAUGGUGGGGGUUGGAAAGUUUCGGCGGUUGGGGAUGGACUCGCGGCUUAUCAGCUUGUUGGUGGGGUAGUGGCUUACCAAGGCUUUGACGGGUAGCCGGCCUGAGAGGGUGACCGGCCACAUUGGGACUGAGAUACGGCCCAGACUCCUACGGGAGGCAGCUGUGGGGAAUAUUGCACAAUGGGCGGAAGCCUGAUGCAGCAACGCCGCGUGCGGGAUGACGGCCUUCGGGUUGUAAACCGCUUUCGCCUGUGACGAAGCGUGAGUGACGGUAAUGGGUAAAGAAGCACCGGCUAACUACGUG